Molecule: long non-coding RNA, 1101 nt
Filed under: Volvox carteri
Lineage: Eukaryota; Viridiplantae; Chlorophyta; Chlorophyceae; Chlamydomonadales; Volvocaceae
Description: long non-coding RNA (VCAR_LNC003899)
Source: RNAcentral
GGUGCUGGCCAGAAGGCUCAAGAGUACCAAGUACAGGCGGUCUUGGGCGUGUAGUGGAUGUCCUUUGGCGUGUUGAGCGCCUCUACCCCAAAUUGGGGGAAAGGAAGCGCUGCAAAUUUGUUGAUUUGCAUACCGCCGUUGUAGGCUUUUGCUCGAUGCUGCUGAUGAGAGGAGAGGAGAGGCCCCGACUUGCUGCAAUCCGCACCAUCCGCAUGACUCUCAUUUGACUCACCAUCGUCAGAUGGUCAUGGUUGUCGUGGUGGUGGUGAUGGUUGUCGUGCUGGUGGUGGUGGUGCUGGUGGUGGUGGUGGUGAUGAUGAUGAUGAUUCUCCUUAUUAUUUAUAUUAUUAUGGCGCACAGCUGAUGAGGAGGCGAUGGUUAUGGAUGGGGCCUCACUCCGAUAUACAUAUAGGCAGGCGGCUGGCAGAGGUUAAGGCCUGACUUCUGCUCCCAGUCGACCCAGUCGACCCGGGUUCAAAUCCGCCUGCCGGCUCCUCGGGUGUUAGAGGAGUGAUGAAAUGGGAGGUGGCCCCCCAUCUUAUGGACGGUGUAGGACGUGAUAAUAUCAACUUGCGAGCUGACCAGGAACUAAGUUGAUGCGCCGUUGAUCCGCUAGAUUUGGUUGGAUGCUGGUGGUGAGUUGCCGAACCCAACGAAUACAUUCUAAAGUCGGAUGGGGUGACGGAUUAGGGUGCCCCUCUAGCAGGGGAGAGCAGGGACUGCCCCGGGAAAGGGGGCCGCUGGCGAAGUUAACCACCCUGUAACAACAUACAUACAUGGCUGUUGCUGGUUCGGUGCUGGUCACCUGCCAUCAUUCCUUGCAUACAUACAUACGUAAACGCACAUGCAAGCACAUGCACCACCGGCGGUAUAUCCACACACCAACACACACUCUCUCUCUCUCUCUCUCUCUCUCUCUCUCUCUCAAAAACUAAUCCAUACACACACACACACAUACAUACACACACUCUCUCAAAAACGUCCCCCCAACAAUUGUAUCUCUGUGUUUGUGAGGUUGGGAAAGAUUCACCCGCCCCCUAACAUUCACCAGCUCCCACACCGUGUACAUGUGCUGAUGUACUACUCUGUACUGCUGUAUUG